This 117-nucleotide ribosomal RNA is filed under the name SAR202 cluster bacterium Io17-Chloro-G6. Lineage: Bacteria; Bacillati; Chloroflexota; Dehalococcoidia. The record is from RNAcentral.
CCUGGUGGUUCUAGCGAGGCGGCCCCACCCGUUCCCAUCCCGAACACGGCAGUGAAACGCCUCAGCGCCUACGAUACUGCUCUGGUGACGGAGUGGGAAAAUAGGUCAUCGCCGGGA